UACGUAGGGACCGAGCGUUGUCCGGAAUCAUUGGGCGUAAAGAGCGUGUAGGCGGCCACUUAAGUCCUGCGUGAAAUCUUGCGGCUCAACCGCAAGCGGUCGUGGGAAACUGGGUGGCUAGAGUGCGGGAGAGGAGAGUGGAAUUCCUGGUGUAGCGGUGGAAUGCGCAGAUAUCAGGAAGAACACCCGUGGCGAAGGCGGCUGUCUGGUCCGGUUCUGACGCUGAGGCGCGAAAGCGUGGGGAGCA
This 247-nucleotide ribosomal RNA is filed under the name uncultured bacterium. RNAcentral describes it as "partial 16S ribosomal RNA". It matches the Rfam family "Bacterial small subunit ribosomal RNA", at positions 524 to 770 of the family's 1533-position model. The record is from RNAcentral.